This 460-nucleotide ribosomal RNA is filed under the name uncultured bacterium. RNAcentral's name for it is "partial 16S ribosomal RNA". It matches the Rfam family "Bacterial small subunit ribosomal RNA", at positions 338 to 795 of the family's 1533-position model. The record is from RNAcentral.
CCUACGGGUGGCAGCAGUGAGGAAUAUUGGUCAAUGGACGGAAGUCUGAACCAGCCAUGCCGCGUGCAGGAAGACGGCUCUAUGAGUUGUAAACUGCUUUUGUACAAGGGUAAACUCAGAUACGUGUAUCUGUCUGAAAGUACCGUACGAACAAGGAUCGGCUAACUCCGUGCCAGCAGCCGCGGUAAUACGGAGGAUCCAAGCGUUAUCCGGAUUGAUUGGGUUUAAAGGGUGCGUAGGCGGUUGGAUAAGUUAGAGGUGAAGUGCCCGAGCUCAACUCGGGAACUGCCUCUGAUACUGUUGAGCUAGAGGGUAGGAGAGGAAGGCGGAAUGUAUGGUGUAGCAGUGAAAUGCUUAGAGAUCAGACAGAACACCGAUUGCGAAGGCAGCUUACCAAGCUACAUCUGACGUUGAGGCACGAAAGCGUGGGGAGCAAACAGGAUUAGAUACCCGUGUAGUC